Molecule: non-coding RNA, 204 nt
Organism: Cinara cedri
Lineage: Eukaryota; Metazoa; Arthropoda; Insecta; Hemiptera; Aphididae
Source: the annotation of a GenBank genome assembly
AUUGUUUCAAUUAUAUAAAAUGGAAAUUCAUUACCAACAGCGUCCUCCUCGUCCCUGUCCCCUUGUUCGCCACACGCAAGAGCAAGGUCCGGAUGGAGAAUGAGUCGGGAAUACUGUCGCGAUUCCCGAAUGAUAGCGAUAAUAAUAAUUGCAAUGUUGUUGCUGUGAGCAACUCAGACGUAUUCAGCAUUUCGUCAAGGAAGA